UCGAGAAUUUUUCACAAUGGGCGAAAGCCUGAUGGAGCGACGCCGCGUGGGGGAUGAAUGGCUUCGGCCCGUAAACCCCUGUCAUUUGCGAUCAAACUUGUCGACCUAACACGUCGGCAACUGAUAGUAGCGAAAGAGGAAGGGACGGCUAACUCUGUGCCAGCAGCCGCGGUAAUACAGAGGUCCCAAGCGUUGUUCGGAUUCACUGGGCGUAAAGGGUGCGUAGGCGGUCGGGUAAGUCUGGUGUGAAAUAUCGGAGCUCAACUCCGAAACUGCAUCAGAUACUAUUCGGCUAGAGGGUUGGAGGGGGGACUGGAAUUCUCGGUGUAGCAGUGAAAUGCGUAGAUAUCGAGAGGAACACCAGUGGCGAAGGCGAGUCCCUAGACAACACCUGACGCUGAGGCACGAAAGCCAGGGGAGCAAACGGG
Molecule: ribosomal RNA, 428 nt
Filed under: uncultured bacterium
Lineage: Bacteria
Description: bacterial SSU rRNA
Rfam family: Bacterial small subunit ribosomal RNA
Source: RNAcentral